AACGAACGCUGGCGGCAUGCCUAAUACAUGCAAGUCGAACGAGACCUUCGGGUCUAGUGGCGCACGGGUGCGUAACGCGUGGGAAUCUGCCCUUGGGUUCGGAAUAACUCGCCGAAAGGCGUGCUAAUACCGGAUGAUGACGUAAGUCCAAAGAUUUAUCGCCCAAGGAUGAGCCCGCGUAGGAUUAGCUUGUUGGUGAGGUAAAAGCUCACCAAGGCGACGAUCCUUAGCUGGUCUGAGAGGAUGGUCAGCCACACUGGGACUGAGACACGGCCCAGACUCCUACGGGAGGCAGCAGUAGGGAAUAUUGGACAAUGGGCGAGAGCCUGAUCCAGCAAUGCCGCGUGAGUGAUGAAGGCCUUAGGGUUGUAAAGCUCUUUUACCCGGGAUGAUAAUGACAGUACCGGGAGAAUAAGCUCCGGCUAACUCCGUGCCAGCAGCCGCGGUAAUACGGAGGGAGCUAGCGUUGUUCGGAAUUACUGGGCGUAAAGCGCAC
This 496-nucleotide ribosomal RNA is filed under the name uncultured bacterium. RNAcentral's name for it is "bacterial SSU rRNA". It matches the Rfam family "Bacterial small subunit ribosomal RNA", at positions 28 to 570 of the family's 1533-position model. The record is from RNAcentral.